GUGUGGACAAACAAACACGAGUUAUACCAUAUAGCUCUUACAACACACGGCAUCUUUGGGUAGAGAAUAUCUCUGAUGGGUUGGAGAUCAGCCAUGGCUGCCAAAGCCCAAGGUGACAAUGAAGAUGAUGAUCCUGAUGGUUUAGAGAGCCUGAUGAUGGUUCUCAAAUCGAUCGCAUCCAUGAUUUACCAGGGCUAUUUGCCAGAGGUUUAUGCCGAUUCUGAAGGGGUACGCAGAAGAUAUAAACCGAGGCAUCAUCAUCUCAGUCGGAUAUGUCAUCCUGAGACCAAGAAAUGAGCAUAAACUGAUCACCUUCGGUAGCAUGCAUACCCAACCUGGUGUGGUGGCGUUUCUGCACCAGUGAGAUUGAUGAUUGAAUACGAAGGAAGAUCGUCAUGUGGAUUUGAAAUACAUAUGUAGAUUAGAUGUUAUUAUAUUUUUUGUAAAGCAAGAUGUAGAAAAUAUAUGAUACUAAUAUGAUCGUACCUCACAUUUUGUAAAGGGAUCAGUCAUAGCUAAUUUAGAUUUGUAGCGUUUGUUGAUUCUCCAUACAUUUUGUAAAAGGAAGUCUAAACUAUAAGAAUUCAUGACUAGUGUAUGUUUAUUUAUGGUC
Malus domestica (apple) is the source of this 613-nucleotide long non-coding RNA. RefSeq lists it as uncharacterized. The record is from RefSeq and is a predicted model, not a curated record. Lineage: Eukaryota; Viridiplantae; Streptophyta; Magnoliopsida; Rosales; Rosaceae.